Molecule: long non-coding RNA, 358 nt
Filed under: Nicotiana tabacum (common tobacco)
Lineage: Eukaryota; Viridiplantae; Streptophyta; Magnoliopsida; Solanales; Solanaceae
Description: long non-coding RNA (NTAB_LNC003574)
Source: RNAcentral
GCACCCCAGUUUCUAUCAAGUAUCUGAAAGAAGAACAUAUUACUAUAUUACCAAAAAUGGAAAGUAAACAGUGUGGAGCAAUAGGAGAGAGAACUAGUUUUGAAUUGAAAUUAGAGUAGAUUAAACUACAUUUAAUAAGGAAAGUUAUUAAAUAAGGAAAAUUACCUAAAUAACUGAAUUACGUCCACCUUUAACAAGUAAAUUACCUAAAUAAGGCUACACAUUGUAAAUGUUUUACCAUGUGUCACAAUCUUCAUGCUUCGUCGUAGCACGAUGAAAUAUGUGAUAAAAAUUAAUAUUAUGUACAUCCACCUUCAUCUCUAAUAUCUUUGAAUCCACUCUAUCAAAACUCAAUUUU